AAUGCGUCAUUGUACGAAACAAAUAAUUAUAAGAAAAACUUUAAAGCUCCUAUGUACGCGUUUAGUGUACAGUAACAAUCGCUUUCGUACAGUUAUCUAAAUCUUAGUUAAUCGCAAGUAAGCAGUAAGUCAGUUUUUUCGGGAUAUUCAAAAUGCAAGGAUUUAAGUUAUUGUGUUUGAUACUAUGUAUAUUUGUUGUAAUAGAUCUGAUGGAAAUUAUUUCAGCAAUUAAAUCUGAAGAUAAUCAAACACGGCCCAAUGGAUUUAUAACAAGAUUAUCAAACGCAGGCAACAAGACAAAGGGUGCUACAGCUGGACUUCAAAAACAAGUGUCAAAACUAAAAGGUCGGAUUCAUAAGGAUACCAAUAAGGAUUCUCAAAAGGGACCAGGAAUACUAACAAGGUCAGCAACAAGUUUAAGAAAAAAUGUAACAAAAUUAAGAAACGGAAAAGAGAUACAACAUAACACAAGUUAAAUUUAAGAAAAAUUUUAAAUAUAUAUGUUUAUAUAUUACAGUUUUUGUGUUUAAUUUUAUAGUAUAAAAAUAAAUGGUUUUCAAGCAAAAAAGUUAUUAAACAUGAAACAAAUUACUAACGUAUGUUAUUAUUUUUUAUAUGAUUCUUUGUGCAAUUAUUAAAACACAUCAUCUUACCAGUUAAUGAAAGCUCUGGUAAGAAUAUACAUUUUA
This is a long non-coding RNA of Adelges cooleyi (spruce gall adelgid), 689 nucleotides long. RefSeq lists it as uncharacterized. The record is from RefSeq and is a predicted model, not a curated record. Lineage: Eukaryota; Metazoa; Arthropoda; Insecta; Hemiptera; Adelgidae. The transcript has 5 exons.